GACGAACGCGGCGGCGUGCCUAAUACAUGCAAGUAGAACGCUGAAGGAGGAGCUUGCUUCUCUGGAUGAGUUGCGAACGGGUGAGUAACGCGUAGGUAACCUGCCUGGUAGCGGGGGAUAACUAUUGGAAACGAUAGCUAAUACCGCAUAAGAGUAGAUGUUGCAUGACAUUUGCUUAAAAGGUGCAAUUGCAUCACUACCAGAUGGACCUGCGUUGUAUUAGCUAGUUGGUGAGGUAACGGCUCACCAAGGCAACGAUACAUAGCCGACCUGAGAGGGUGAUCGGCCACACUGGGACUGAGACACGGCCCAGACUCCUACGGGAGGCAGCAGUAGGGAAUCUUCGGCAAUGGACGGAAGUCUGACCGAGCAACGCCGCGUGAGUGAAGAAGGUUUUCGGAUCGUAAAGCUCUGUUGUAAGAGAAGAAACGAGUGUGAGAGUGGAAAGUU
Molecule: ribosomal RNA, 450 nt
Filed under: Streptococcus mitis
Lineage: Bacteria; Bacillati; Bacillota; Bacilli; Lactobacillales; Streptococcaceae
Description: bacterial SSU rRNA
Rfam family: Bacterial small subunit ribosomal RNA
Source: RNAcentral